This 176-nucleotide non-coding RNA is filed under the name Hyphomonadaceae bacterium. RNAcentral describes it as "6S RNA". It matches the Rfam family "6S / SsrS RNA". Rfam says of the family: E. coli 6S RNA was the first non coding RNA to be sequenced, but its function was unknown until recently. It consists of 184 nucleotides that fold into an extended hairpin structure with a large single-stranded internal bulge. The record is from RNAcentral. Lineage: Bacteria; Pseudomonadati; Pseudomonadota; Alphaproteobacteria; Hyphomonadales; Hyphomonadaceae.
CGGUCUCUGUGGCGUGCGAGAGGAUUCAAUCCCCGAGACCGUACAUUCUCUCUCGGGAGUUGGCUCUGCCCCGGAUCGUUCCCCGCAAGGGGGGCGGACGGGGUAUCUGGCGCCCACCUAGCUUGCUAGGGUCCGAGUGGAUGACAUGCCUCCAACGGCGUUCUUGCGGAACCGCC